Molecule: ribosomal RNA, 496 nt
Filed under: uncultured bacterium
Lineage: Bacteria
Description: partial 16S ribosomal RNA
Rfam family: Bacterial small subunit ribosomal RNA
Source: RNAcentral
AUUGAACGCUGGCGGAAUGCUUUACACAUGCAAGUCGAACGGUAGAGGGGGCAACCCCUCGAGAGUGGCGAACGGGUGAGUAAUAUAUCGGAUGGUGUCCAGUCGGGGGGGAUAACGGAGCGAAAGUUACGCUAAUACCGCAUACGAUCGAAGGAUGAAAGUGGGGGAUCGCAAGACCUCGCGCGAUUGGAGCGGCCCAUAUCAGAUUAGGUAGUUGGUGGGGUAAGGGCUCACCAAGCCAACGAUCUGUAGCUGGUCUGAGAGGACGACCAGCAACACUGGAACUGAGACACGGUCCAGACGCCUACGGGAGGCAGCAGUGGGGAAUUUUGGACAAUGGACGCAAGUCUGAUCCAGCCAUUCCGCGUGCAGGAUGAAGGCCCUCGGGUUGUAAACUGCUUUUGUACGGAACGAAAAGGUCUCUCUUAAUACGGGGGGCUCAUGACGGUACCGUAAGAAUAAGCACCGGCUAACUACGUGCCAGCCGCCGCGGUAA